GGCGACGGCGACCUCUCGCGCCCGGCACUGGGUGCAGGCCAUGGUGCGGAGCGAGAGGGACUGGGAUGCCA
RNAcentral lists this microRNA precursor (71 nucleotides) under Spodoptera frugiperda (fall armyworm). RNAcentral's name for it is "microRNA sfr-mir-10477 precursor". Lineage: Eukaryota; Metazoa; Arthropoda; Insecta; Lepidoptera; Noctuidae. The record is from miRBase by way of RNAcentral.